Molecule: ribosomal RNA, 195 nt
Filed under: Triticum aestivum (bread wheat)
Lineage: Eukaryota; Viridiplantae; Streptophyta; Magnoliopsida; Poales; Poaceae
Description: partial small subunit ribosomal RNA
Source: RNAcentral
AUGGUAUUGAGUAUUUUAAUAUUUAACUUCACAUUCAUUGCUCGUAAUUUCUGGAACAGUGUGAUCGCUUCGUCUGCACACUUAUUUCUACAAAGACCUCCCAGUAUUAUAUUGUAUGUGGAAAUGUCCACCGUUGUUCCACUCUCGUUCAUCUCAUGGAACAUUUUCUUUGCGGCAACAGUUCUCCCAUCAUGA